AGUUGUUGGUCUUGCAACUGACGAAGUUGAAUAGUCUGAUAGAAGUGCAUUCCCUUAGCUUCACUGCCACGCCCAUGGUGAAUGGACAUUGAAGCUAGCUUCUGAAUGAACGAUUUGUGAUUAUAGAAUACAGAAAGGUGCUGGCUUGAUUUUAUGGGUAAAAACUGGAAGCGUGUGUGAUGUACUAUAUGAUGAUUGAUGACAUAAAAUAAGUAGUUAGACAAAAUUUGGAUUAUUCCCCUUAAUGUGAAGA
RNAcentral lists this long non-coding RNA (253 nucleotides) under Trifolium pratense (red clover). RNAcentral describes it as "long non-coding RNA (TPRA_LNC012552)". The record is from RNAcentral. Lineage: Eukaryota; Viridiplantae; Streptophyta; Magnoliopsida; Fabales; Fabaceae.